RNAcentral lists this ribosomal RNA (468 nucleotides) under uncultured bacterium. Its description in RNAcentral is "partial 16S ribosomal RNA". It matches the Rfam family "Bacterial small subunit ribosomal RNA", at positions 28 to 507 of the family's 1533-position model. The record is from RNAcentral.
GACGAACGCUGGCGGCGUGCUUAACACAUGCAAGUCGAACGGCCAGGCCCUGCUUUUGUUGGGUGCUCGAUUGGCGAACGGGUGAGUAACACGUGAGUAACCUGCCCUUGACUUUGGGAUAACUUCAGGAAACUGGGGCUAAUACCGGAUAGGAGCUCCUGCUGCAUGGUGGGGGUUGGAAAGUUUCGGCGGUUGGGGAUGGACUCGCGGCUUAUCAGCUUGUUGGUGGGGUAGUGGCUUACCAAGGCUUUGACGGGUAGCCGGCCUGGGAGGGUGACCGGGCACAUUGGGACUGAGAUACGGCCCAGACUCCUACGGGAGGCAGCAGGGGGGAAUAUUGCACAAUGGGCGGAAGCCUGAUGCAGCAACGCCGCGUGCGGGAUGACGGCCUUCGGGUUGUAAACCGCUUUCGCCUGUGACGAAACGUGAGUGACGGUAAUGGGUAAAGAAGCACCGGCUAACUACGUG